UGAUAAAUUGCCUCUCCGAUAAGAUUGGAACGAUAUAGAGUAAGAAGGUAUGGCCUCUGUGCAAGGAUGACACGCACAAAUAGAGAAAUAGUCUCCUCUUCU
Non-coding RNA from Nicotiana attenuata, 102 nucleotides. The record is from Rfam. Lineage: Eukaryota; Viridiplantae; Streptophyta; Magnoliopsida; Solanales; Solanaceae.